CAUCAUUACAUGUUUGUAGAGAUAAACUAAUGACUGAAGCACCAGCACUCAAUUUCUUCUGGCUACCAUCAAUUGGUUGAUCUUCCCAGAGACAGAAGCAUGCCGGAUCCUUCUCGAGGUGUAGUAGCCCAAGCUUAAGAGCAGGUGACUCAGAAAGGACGAAGUCUUCAAUAUGAAGUCUUUUGCUUACCAUCCGAUGUAACCCAAACAUUAAAACAAACUAAGAGGUAUUGGAACCUCUGAAGCUAUAAAGAUAGGUGCAAAACUAUGAAAUAAUUACUGCCAUGUUUCUUGUCUAAGCAUUGUUUUACAGCUAUUGUCAAAAAUCUCAACAUGCAAUAACUGCUCAAAACAAUAGCUACCCUGCAAGAUAUAAAGUACCUUAUAACACGAGUCAAGUUUUAUCAAUUUCUACAGAGGCAAUUAUAUAACACAAUGAGAAUAAAGUGCUUACAGUAAUCAACUCGAGGGGAUAUCUUUUCUUGCCAGACAAUUUUGUGCUGCCAUCUGUUACGUGCUUAGAGCUGCUUGCUUUGACACAAAUGUUGUGGAAAGUUGUGUGCCAACACCUCUCUUCUCUGAUGGAAUCUUCAUGAUCACAGAACCACCACUUUUCUGCUGCUUCUUGUGCACCUUCCAGAGCAAAUAACCAAUCUUUGAAUUCGAUGGAUAUAUCCACAUCAUCAGGUGUUUCCAAUUGUAAUCUUCCAGUGUCCUUUCCAUCUGGAAAGAAGAAAAGUAUGAGGAAAUGAGAUGAGUCCACAUCAUCAGGUGUUUCCAACUGUAAUCUUCCAGUGUCCUUUCCAUCUGGAAAGAAGAAAAGUAUGAGGAAAUGAGAUGACCAUCGAACAAAAAGAUCACAAGCAAAGUUAAUCACUGAACACAUAGACGACAAAGAAAAUGAAUACUCAUCCAUCCCGAAUUGCCUGUGCCUAAUUUGUAAGUGGUUCAAAAACAGUUUAACACAUUCACAAUAAAACAGAAUUUUGGACCACCUAUGCUCUUUUACAUAUCAUUUUUUCCUCUAAUUUAUUCUUGUUAAGCAUAAAAUUCAAACUAUCGUUCCACAUGUUUCCUCGCAAGUACUGAAAAGCUCAUAGUUUCAACUCUUCUCUUAAUGAUCAUGCCAAAUCAAAAGUGCACAAGUGAAUUCGUAUGGCAGGAGUAUAUAACAUCAUAAGUUGAAGAGUCUAACCGUCUUCAAGCUCAUUGAUGGUAGGAGGUGUUGCUUUCAAAAGUUUAGACAAAGGCCCAGCAGACAAAUGCUCCAAACCUUUAGUAAGCCCUUCCCCAGGACCACCAUCUGGCCCAAGAAUUCCAAACCUGUGAAGUAAGGCUUCUGUGUAAUUCAUUCCUCCCCCAAGGCGGACACCAGCAAUACAAGCUGAAACAUUUAGACUGUGACACUCCAUGUCAUGUGUUUUAUAUGGAAUCACCUGUACCAUUUUUAUGUCCAAGAAGGGAACUAAAACAAAGUUGCCAUUUGAUUGAUUGAUCUUCCUGUUUUGCACCCCUGUGUAUUAUAUGGAAUCACCUGUACCAUUUUUAUGUCCAAGAAGGGAACUAAAACAAAGUUGCCAUUUGAUUGAUUGAUCUUCCUGUUUUGCACCCAAAGGACAGAUCUAAGUUGACGUUCAUUCCCCAUCAAUUGGCCAUUUUGGUUUGAAGUCCACGCCAAGCCGUUCUCACAUGGCAAGCUACUCAGAGUGUCUGCACAAUCAACUUCAACACUUUCCCAAAGCAAACUUGAUGAAAUGGCUAUAGCACCACCAUGGGUUAUAUGAGUAACUUUGACGGACAGCUCAUUGCCUAUAAAUUGAACCAAAGGCAUUCCUGAAAUGUCAGUGGAAGAAGACUCCAAAAAUCUAAGACGCAGAUCAUUCACUGCUAAACUUACAGCAGUAUCACCGGGAACUUUUUCACCUAAUGAUCCACCUGAAGAUUUUUGACUUACUUCCUCGUGCGAAUUGAUCCUCCCAACUACUGCCAUUUUUUCGCUUAUCCUCCCAAAAUAUGUGUAAAAAUCUAGAACAAAAAAUAAUUGCUCAACCGAAGUGUUGGAGAAGUACUGCUGACAGGCAACUCCCACUCUGACAAUUCCUCCAGGGGGUGGGACAUUUGUUAAAGGGCUUCCAUCUGCUGUAGCCAUAGCUAUUUCAAGGCAAGCACCUUUCAGCUCAACACAUCUCCAUAAAUUUGAAGAUAAUAUAAGAGAUUGGAGUCCAGUUGCAUCAUUACAUGUUUGUAGAGAUAAACUAAUGACUGAAGCACCAGCACUCAAUUUCUUCUGGCUACCAUCAAUUGGUUGAUCUUCCCAGAGACAGAAGCAUGCCGGAUCCUUCUCGAGGUGUAGUAGCCCAAGCUUAAGAGCAGGUGACUCAGAAAGGACGAAGUCUUCAAUAUGAAGUCUUGCCCCACCAAACAAACUCUGACAAGUGUUAUUUUCACCUGAAACAGUAUGAUUUGGCGUUC
RNAcentral lists this long non-coding RNA (2472 nucleotides) under Nicotiana benthamiana. Its description in RNAcentral is "long non-coding RNA (NBEN_LNC021129)". The record is from RNAcentral. Lineage: Eukaryota; Viridiplantae; Streptophyta; Magnoliopsida; Solanales; Solanaceae.